RNAcentral lists this ribosomal RNA (493 nucleotides) under uncultured bacterium. RNAcentral's name for it is "partial 16S ribosomal RNA". It matches the Rfam family "Bacterial small subunit ribosomal RNA", at positions 29 to 507 of the family's 1533-position model. The record is from RNAcentral.
ACGAACGCUGGCGGCGUGCUUAACACAUGCCAGUCGAACGGAAAGGCCUGCUUUCCCUUGUGGAUUGCGGGUGCUCGAGUGGCGAACGGGUGAGUAACACGUGAGUGAUCUGCCCCCAACUUGGGUAUAAGCCUGGGAAACUGGGUCUAAUUCCCGAUAGGACUGCAGGGUGGUGCCUGUGGUGGAAAACGAUUUUCUAGUGGUUGGGGAUGAGCUCGCGGCCUAUCAGCUUGUUGGUGGGGUAAUGGCCUGCCAAGGCGGCGACGGGUAGCCGGCCUGAGAGGGUGGACGGCCACAUUGGGACUGAGAUACGGCCCAGACUCCUACGGGAGGCAGCAGUGGGGAAUAUUGCACAAUGGGCGGAAGCCUGAUGCAGCGACGCCGCGUGGGGGAUGACGGCCUUCGGGUUGUAAACUCCUUUCGACCGCGAGGAAGCCACCUGGUUGGAAGGGUGGUGACGGUAGUGGUAGAAGAAGCACCGGCUAACUACGUG